CACGACAACAACAAGGUAGCAGCACAACACGACAACAACAUGGUAGCAACACAACACGACAACAACAAGGUAGCAGCACAACACGACAACAACAUGGUAGCAGCACAACACGACAACAACAUGGUAGCAGCACAACACGACAACAACAUGGUAGCAACACAUCACGACGUUGUAGCAGCACAACACGACAACAACAUGGUAGCAACACAUCACGACACAACGUUGUAGCAGCACAACACUACAACAACAUGGUAGCAGCACAACACGACAACAACAUGGUAGCAGCACAACACGACAACAACAUGGUAGCAGCACAACACGACAACAACAAGGUAGAAGCACAAACCAUGGUACAAACAUUAUCAGGCAGAGACAACAGUACAAAGGGCAAGAAGCCACAACUAUCAGUAAGAGUGUCCAUGAUUGAGUCUUUGAACGAAGAGAUGGCUAGACAGUGUACCAUGUGAUUACCUCCAGCUCUAAACUCUCAGAGGUAGUAAUCACCCCUGUGGGGAGAGGGGCAUUCUUCUUACCAGACCACAUGACCUUUGUUUUGGAGGUGUUCAGAACAAGGUUAAGGGCAGAGAAAGCUUGUUGAACACAGAGAGCAGUGUUGUAGAG
Molecule: long non-coding RNA, 621 nt
Organism: Oncorhynchus tshawytscha (Chinook salmon)
Lineage: Eukaryota; Metazoa; Chordata; Actinopteri; Salmoniformes; Salmonidae
Source: Ensembl